This 62-nucleotide transfer RNA is filed under the name Oxidus gracilis. Its description in RNAcentral is "tRNA-Glu". The record is from RNAcentral. Lineage: Eukaryota; Metazoa; Arthropoda; Diplopoda; Polydesmida; Paradoxosomatidae. RNAcentral also lists the same sequence under 1 other name.
CUUCUUGUGGUGUAAUUUAACACAUAAUCUUUUCGUGAUUAAGAAAGUUUUGCUUUGGAAGU